RNAcentral lists this ribosomal RNA (427 nucleotides) under uncultured archaeon. RNAcentral describes it as "bacterial SSU rRNA". It matches the Rfam family "Archaeal small subunit ribosomal RNA", at positions 474 to 903 of the family's 1478-position model. The record is from RNAcentral.
UACCAGCUCUCCGAGUUGUAGGGAUGAUUAUUGGGCUUAAAGCGUCCGUAGCUGGCUUAGCAAGUCUCCUGUUAAAUUCAGCGACCUAAUCGUUGAGCCGCGGGAGAUACUACUAGGCUAGGAGGCGGGAGAGGUCGACGGUACUUUCGGGGUAGGGUGAAAUCCUAUAAUCCCGGGAGGACCACCAGUGGCGAAGGCUGUCGACUAGAACGCGCUCGACGGUGAGGGACGAAAGCUGGGGGAGCGAACCGGAUUAGAUACCCGGGUAGUCCCAGCUGUAAACUAUGCGGGCUAGGUGUUGGGGUGGCUACGGGCCACUUCAGUGCCGCAGGAAAGCCAUUAAGCCCGCCGCCUGGGGAGUACGGCCGCAAGGCUGAAACUUAAAGGAAUUGGCGGGGAGCACCACAAGGCGUGAAGCUUGCGGUUC